Molecule: long non-coding RNA, 332 nt
Filed under: Ananas comosus (pineapple)
Lineage: Eukaryota; Viridiplantae; Streptophyta; Magnoliopsida; Poales; Bromeliaceae
Description: long non-coding RNA (ACOM_LNC019509)
Source: RNAcentral
AGGAAUAACCCUUUUAUCCUUAUUAUUCUUCCAAACACAAUAAAAUUUGUCAAGUAUAAUUUAUUCUAGUCAAAGCGGGUUAUUCCAGUUGAUCCUGGAAUAACCCGUUAAUUAUAUUCUCCUCCACCCGUAGAAUAAAAUUUAUCCCUGAUGAAUUUAAAGGUGGGGCAAUAAACAAGUGAUUUUUUUCCUUCUUUUUAUGAUGCCUCAACUCACGCACCCUCUAUUUAUGACGCCUCGACUCCCGCACCCCUACUUUACUUCAUCCUCCCAUUCUAUUUCUAUAUAUAGUAUUUACUAGUAUAUAUAUUAUUAGUAUAAAGUUAAUUACU